RNAcentral lists this transfer RNA (73 nucleotides) under Apaloderma vittatum (bar-tailed trogon). It matches the Rfam family "tRNA". From Rfam's summary of the family: Transfer RNA (tRNA) molecules are approximately 80 nucleotides in length. Their secondary structure includes four short double-helical elements and three loops (D, anti-codon, and T loops). Lineage: Eukaryota; Metazoa; Chordata; Aves; Trogoniformes; Trogonidae. The record is from Rfam by way of RNAcentral.
GGCCGGUUAGCUUAGUCAGUUGAGCGUGGUGCUAACAUCGCCAAGGUCACGGGUUCUAUUCCCAUUCAGUCCC